AAUAAGUUUAUUUAUAGGUUUGUCUUCAAUACUUGACCAUCCGUUUUAUUUAAAAUUUUGUUAUGAUCAGUAUUUUUGUUGUUAUUAGAUGAUAAAAACAUGUAUAAUAUUUUGUGUGUGAGUUAUUUCUUUUAAUUUUUUAUAUUUUUUUUAAUAAAACGGACGAUCACCCCGUUAAAUACAGAAUAUAUAAAUAAACUUAUU
This 204-nucleotide microRNA precursor is filed under the name Oryza barthii. Its description in RNAcentral is "MIR812 microRNA precursor family". It matches the Rfam family "MIR812 microRNA precursor family". Lineage: Eukaryota; Viridiplantae; Streptophyta; Magnoliopsida; Poales; Poaceae. The record is from Rfam by way of RNAcentral.